UCUUAGUCAAAGAAAUUGCCAACACGCAGACAGACGAUCACACUAUAAAAGCGAACACAGCUAGUCGUCCGUUCUUCCGUCUCUCGCAAACGGGUUUUCAGAUCUUGAAUCAGGUCAAGUCGAGAUUGCAACUCUGAUCUUUGCAAAGCUUCCUCGUGUUCUCGAUCCACCUUUAGUUGGCGUAAUCGGGUUUCCAUUCUUUCUCGCUCUUCCCGGAGUCGUGGCAGCCUUGUCCGACAUCCAUCCACCGUUUGUCCCUUUGCAAUCUCGUCCGCUAUGUACUGAGCAAAUCUGUUCACGGUAUCCACCGUUUCGUCUAUUGACUGAUUACAGGUCGAUAUAUCAGGUAUUUCUUCGUUGUUCUUCCAAAGUGGGAAGCGUUCUUUAAGCCAGUGAUAGAAUCUCUCUUGCAAUGGUUCAUCACUGGGUUGUUUUGCUAAUUGCAACACCACCUUAAUAUUGUUUUGCAUGUCUUGUAAGAUAUUAAUCAGAACCUGGCGAUUAUCCAUAUCGGCUUCUCUUGAUUAUAACAGCACUAAAUACAGAUAAGUAUAGUUGAUUUCAUGUUUCCAUGCCAACUAACCAACUCCUCGAGUUUGCGUGGUAAGCGUAGCGUAGGAACAUAAAGUCAUUCAUGUGACAAAGAAACAUUUUAAAAUUUUUGUUCCAUAUAAAACAUUACUUAGUACAUUAUGGCAAUUACGAGGAUCAGGAUAUUUAAUCGUGACACUUACCUUCAACAAAACUCGUUCGCUAAAAGCAUGCAUGAGCUAUAACAAUGUACAGUCGUACAAUUUGCAUCAGCCAUUCGACUAGAGGGGAUGAUUAGAAUUCAGUCAAAAACCACCGACGUAAAACCUCAUGUUCCACACGACGAAAUGUGCAUCGAAAGACGGAAGAACUGACCACAAAGUCGACAUGUAAAUAACAGCUGUGCACACAUGCAGCGUCCUUCUAAGGAAUUGUAAGCCUAGAAUCAGUCACACACAACGACCAAUUGUUUACUCGGAAUAUUCGAAAACAGAAUAAGAUAUAAAAUAUUACCUCAUACGUUGUCGGAUCACUAAUGAAAAAUAAUAACACGCACUUGUGUACGUUACCAAUGCAUUACAACUAGUUAUUGUAGACAGCUUGAUUGUGUUGUAUUCAACAGCAUCAAAUUGUUUGGCCACAGCACAGAAACUGCACUGCCUCAUCUGCUUGCAUGCACCAUUAUUAAAGUUUAGCAAUGCAAGCUUCAUACAAGCCAAUUGAAAUUUGAGCUUUUAGAAAACAGCAUACAAAAGCCAUCAGAUAUUUUUACAAACAAA
Daphnia carinata is the source of this 1310-nucleotide long non-coding RNA. RefSeq lists it as uncharacterized. The transcript is spliced from 2 exons. The record is from RefSeq and is a predicted model, not a curated record. NCBI's taxonomy places the organism in Eukaryota, Metazoa, Arthropoda, Branchiopoda, Diplostraca, Daphniidae.